This is a long non-coding RNA of Carassius carassius (crucian carp), 584 nucleotides long. RefSeq lists it as uncharacterized. The record is from RefSeq and is a predicted model, not a curated record. Lineage: Eukaryota; Metazoa; Chordata; Actinopteri; Cypriniformes; Cyprinidae. The transcript is spliced from 3 exons.
UUUUAUUCUAAGUUUUAGUUAUUUUGGUUGUGUAUUUAUUAUUAUUAGUUUUUUUGUUUAUUAAAUCAAGUUACACUAAAUCAAAAUAGAAGUGUUGCCUUGACAACUAUCUGAAAUGAAAUUUGAAGUUUAAGGUUGUUUUUUUAUUUUUAUUUUUAUUUUCAGUUAUUGUUUUUUGUAUUUCUAGUCACACAAAGGUUGUUUUUAUGAUUGUAGUUAGUGCUGGUGUGUGGUGAAUGUUCUUCUGUUCUCUGGGUCACAUGCCUUCACUCCAGCUGCUAAAGAAGAACGACCUCAUGCAGAUCACAGACGUCACCAGAGCUGUGAGCUAUCAUCAGCUUCCUCUAGACGCCUUCCUCGUGGCGCUGAAGAUGAUGAAGGUGGAAGAUGUGGACCUCGACGAGGUUCAGUGCAUCCUCGCGAACCUCAUCUACAUGGCUGAAUUAUUCAUAUUUUGAAUUACCUCAGCUCCCAGAAUGCACCUGUUACUCCACAAUCCCAUCAACCGCUGGUCCUCAGUGCUUCAUCUUCAUUUUACCUUCAACCAUUUUUUUUUUUUAAUGGUCAAAUAAAAAUAUCCCUGU